This 73-nucleotide transfer RNA is filed under the name Roseinatronobacter ekhonensis. RNAcentral describes it as "Rhodobacter sp. EL-50 tRNA". It matches the Rfam family "tRNA". From Rfam's summary of the family: Transfer RNA (tRNA) molecules are approximately 80 nucleotides in length. Their secondary structure includes four short double-helical elements and three loops (D, anti-codon, and T loops). Lineage: Bacteria; Pseudomonadati; Pseudomonadota; Alphaproteobacteria; Rhodobacterales; Paracoccaceae. The record is from Rfam by way of RNAcentral.
GCCGGCAUAGCUCAGUUGGUAGAGCAGCGGUUUUGUAAACCGAAGGUCGGGGGUUCAAGUCCCUCUGCCGGCA